CGGGCAGGUCGGGUGAUCGCUGGGCCGGCAUCUCACGAUGCUCGGCCUGGAGGAAAGUCCGGACACCGCGGUCCGACGUCUAACGAGGUUGGACUGAAGGGCAACGCGCCUGGUAACGCCAGGGGGUCGGGUCUGCGAGGACUCGGCCACGGACAGUGCCACAGAAAAUAAACCGCCGGCGCAGCUUGCGGUAAGCGCAAGCGAACCGCGAAAGCCUCGAUGACAAGCCGGAGGAAAACCUUCGGCUCGUCUUUCACAGGCAGGCUGUGCAGGGCAAGGGUGAAACGGUGGGGUAAGAGCCCACCGCUCGGGCGGCAACGCUUGAGGCACGGCAAACCCCGCGUGGUGCAAGGCCAAAUAGGAGGGGAGGGCUGGCCCGGCCCGUUAUAACCCUCGGGUAGGCCGCUUGAGUUCCGAAGCGAUUCGGGACCCAGAGGAAUGAUCACCCCGGUGCGUAGGCCGCACGCGGUUCGGCGCCGAAAGGUGGCGGACCAAUGGACACGCGCCGGACAGAAUCCGGCUUACAGACCUGCCCGCCGC
RNAcentral lists this RNase P RNA (540 nucleotides) under Acidobacteriota bacterium. RNAcentral describes it as "Acidobacteria bacterium RNase P RNA component class A". It matches the Rfam family "Bacterial RNase P class A". From Rfam's summary of the family: Ribonuclease P (RNase P) is a ubiquitous endoribonuclease, found in archaea, bacteria and eukarya as well as chloroplasts and mitochondria. Its best characterised activity is the generation of mature 5'-ends of tRNAs by cleaving the 5'-leader elements of precursor-tRNAs. Lineage: Bacteria; Pseudomonadati; Acidobacteriota. The record is from RNAcentral.